This 444-nucleotide ribosomal RNA is filed under the name uncultured Reichenowia sp. RNAcentral's name for it is "bacterial SSU rRNA". It matches the Rfam family "Bacterial small subunit ribosomal RNA", at positions 63 to 525 of the family's 1533-position model. Lineage: Bacteria; Pseudomonadati; Pseudomonadota; Alphaproteobacteria; Hyphomicrobiales. The record is from RNAcentral.
CGGACUUCGCGAGGGGUUACAAUGAUUGUCCCAGCGCCCCGCAAGGGGAGCGGCAGACGGGUGAGUAACGCGUGGGAAAGUACCCUUUUCUACGGAAUAACGCAUGGAAACGUGUGCUAAUACCGUAUACGCCCUUUGGGGGAAAGAUUUAUCGGAGAAGGAUCGGCCCGCGUUGGAUUAGCUAGUUGGUGGGGUAAAGGCCUACCAAGGCGACGAUCCAUAGCUGGUCUGAGAGGAUGGUCAGCCACAUUGGGACUGAGAUACGGCCCAAACUCCUACGGGAGGCAGCAGUGGGGAAUAUUGGACAAUGGGCGCAAGCCUGAUCCAGUCAUGCCGCGUGAGUAAUGAAGGCCUUAGGGUUGUAAAGCUCUUUCGCCGGUGAAGAUAGUGACGGUAACCGGAGAAGAAGCCCCGGCUAACUUCGUGCCAGCAGCCGCGGUAAUA